This 352-nucleotide ribosomal RNA is filed under the name uncultured bacterium. RNAcentral describes it as "bacterial SSU rRNA". It matches the Rfam family "Bacterial small subunit ribosomal RNA", at positions 917 to 1271 of the family's 1533-position model. The record is from RNAcentral.
GGGCCCGCACAAGCGGAGGAGCAUGUGGUUUAAUUCGAUGAUACGCGAGGAACCUUACCAAGGCUUAAAUGUAAUAUGACCGGUUGAGAGAUCAACCUUUUUUCGAACAGAUUACAAGGUGCUGCAUGGUUGUCGUCAGCUCGUGCCGUGAGGUGUCGGGUUAAGUCCCAUAACGAGCGCAACCCCUAUUUUUAGUUACCAGCGAGUAAUGUCGGGAACUCUAGAAAAACUGCCUGUGCAAACAGAGAGGAAGGUGGGGAUGACGUCAAAUCAUCACGGCCCUUAUGUCUUGGGCUACACACGUGCUACAAUGGUUACUACAAUGUGAUGCCAUCUGGUGACAGAGAGCUAA